RNAcentral lists this ribosomal RNA (329 nucleotides) under uncultured bacterium. RNAcentral describes it as "bacterial SSU rRNA". It matches the Rfam family "Bacterial small subunit ribosomal RNA", at positions 8 to 334 of the family's 1533-position model. The record is from RNAcentral.
AGGGUUUGAUUAUGGCUCAGGAUGAACGCUGGCGGCGUGCUUAACACAUGCAAGUCGAACGGGAUCCAUCGGGCUUUGCUUGGUGGUGAGAGUGGCGAACGGGUGAGUAAUGCGUGACCGACCUGCCCCAUGCUCCGGAAUAGCUCCUGGAAACGGGUGGUAAUGCCGGAUGUUCCACAUGAUCGCAUGUGAUUGUGGGAAAGAUUCUAUCGGCGUGGGAUGGGGUCGCGUCCUAUCAGCUUGUUGGUGAGGUAACGGCUCACCAAGGCUUCGACGGGUAGCCGGCCUGAGAGGGCGACCGGCCACAUUGGGACUGAGAUACGGCCCAG